RNAcentral lists this unclassified non-coding RNA (216 nucleotides) under Hevea brasiliensis (rubber tree). Lineage: Eukaryota; Viridiplantae; Streptophyta; Magnoliopsida; Malpighiales; Euphorbiaceae. The record is from RNAcentral.
AAUCGACCUGAUGUUCUGGAUCCAGCACUUCUUCGUCCCGGUCGUUUAGACAGGAAGAUAGAGAUUCCAUUGCCAAAUGAGCAGUCUAGAAUGGAAAUCCUCAAAAUCCAUGCUGCUGGCAUUGCCAAACAUGGCGAGAUAGAUUACGAAGCAGUUGUAAAACUUGCUGAAGGAUUCAAUGGAGCUGAUCUUCGGAAUGUCUGCACAGAAGCUGGG